This 468-nucleotide ribosomal RNA is filed under the name uncultured bacterium. RNAcentral describes it as "partial 16S ribosomal RNA". It matches the Rfam family "Bacterial small subunit ribosomal RNA", at positions 28 to 507 of the family's 1533-position model. The record is from RNAcentral.
GACGAACGCUGGCGGCGUGCUUAACACAUGCAAGUCGAACGGAAAGGCCCUGCUUUUGUGGGGUGCUCGAGUGGCGAACGGGUGAGUAACACGUGAGUAACCUGCCCUUGACUUUGGGAUAACUUCAGGAAACUGGGGCUAAUACCGGAUAGGAGCUCCUACUGCAUGGUGGGGGUUGGAAAGUUUCGGCGGUUGGGGAUGGACUCGCGGCUUAUCAGCUUGUUGGUGGGGUAGUGGCUUACCAAGGCUUUGACGGGUAGCCGGCCUGAGAGGGUGACCGGCCACAUUGGGACUGAGAUACGGCCCAGACUCCUACGGGAGGCAGCAGUGGGGAAUAUUGCACAAUGGGCGGAAGCCUGAUGCAGCAACGCCGCGUGCGGGAUGACGGCCUUCGGGUUGUAAACCGCUUUCGCCUGUGACGAAGCGUGAGUGACGGUGAUGGGUAAAGAAGCACCGGCUAACUACGUG